Molecule: long non-coding RNA, 1469 nt
Organism: Erigeron canadensis
Lineage: Eukaryota; Viridiplantae; Streptophyta; Magnoliopsida; Asterales; Asteraceae
Exons: 4
Source: RefSeq, a predicted model, not a curated record
GCUAUAUAUUCGUUCUAUAUGUUCAGUCCCUUCCAUGUUCUGUCCAGAGGUCGAUUUUGAUGGCAUCGACACAAUUAAUGAUUGGCCAAAAAAGAAAACCACUAUUGCAGAGUUAUCAUUGGCUGGAUUUGAUCAUGAUAUUGAAAGAAACGGAAAAGUUGUGGAAUGAUUUCUCUUGGUGGGCGUUCAAUUCUUAGGCCACUUUAGACAUUUUAGAAGAAUUAAUGAGCAAUGCCCAUUGCUCUUCCUCAUUGCUUCUCCCUACGCGUAUUGUUUAAUUGGCUCUCUUAUGAUCACUUCUACUCAUGACGAUAUUGCUGCUAUGAUAACUCUCCUUGAAGGUUUCAAGGCCGUCCUUCCUGCUGUUAUGAUCACGUUCUAUUAUCUUAUCCAUGGGUAUUAUGAUAAUCUCAACGAAGGCAGAAACAUAACUGAUUUACUGUCUCACCAGAGAGGACAUGUUUCUUGUUGGGUUAGAUACAUUCUGUGUGGACGAGGGUACCUCUGGUAAGUAGCUACUCUGCAUGAUGAAUAUAUAUAACUUAAUUUUAGUAAUCAUUAACCGUUAGAAAUAAUGUUUAUUUGCAACGUGGAUGAGGGUACCUUAUACCCAUAAACAUAUGUCGGAUGAGAACGUAUUUAUGAGUAUGACCCUUGUUAACCUUGGUAGCGGUAUAUCCAAGGUUAAUAUAUCCUUAGACUUUUGCGAUGGAGGUUACCAAUUUCAUUGUUAUACUUAAUCUAAGGACCCUGGCACAUAAUCUUCUAGAGGCUUUUAUGGGAUCCGUCUUCGACAAUUUGGCAGCUUAUGGGUUUAUUACUAUAUCUCAAUAGUCAUCUAUCUAUUUUAUUUUUUUAUGAUGUUGAAAGUUAUUUUAUUCCAUUUCUUAUUAUUCUAGCUCAUAUGUAUUUUAAUUUUGUAGGGGGCUUCCUCGCCAUGUGCAGGCUAUUUGAAUUGAUUGACAAGCAAGUAUUGGUGAAUGUUGAGUACUCUAUGAUGAUUGUGACAUCGAUGGUAAUGGUCAUUCGUCAACUUUUUCUUUUCAAAGUGACUCCUUAUUAGAUUACACCCCACAUUAGUGAGGAAGAUAUUGAGCUAUAUGAGAUCGAGUCCAGGACUCAAAAGGAUGGUGUAGUUUCCCAUACCCAUGACAAGAAAGCUACAUGAUUGAUUUGGAUCCGGCUUUAGGAUGCAUGGCUUGAAUCAUUCCUUCUAAACUUUGAUUCAUGGUUAAAUAUGAACCUUGAGUCAUCAAAGCCUUUCUGACUCGGCCUAGCCCAGUUGCCCUGGGGUUCGGAUGAAAACGGAUCUCGCUAAUCCAGUCUAUUCUAUUUUUCAUAGACUGAUGUUGUUGUUGCAUCCUAAAGCCUGAUCCAAAUCAACCCUGUAGCUUUCUUGUUAUGAGUAUGGGAAACUGCACCAUCCUUUUGAGUCACGGACUGGAGCUCAUAUAGCUCAGUAUCUUUAU